AACGCGAAGAACCUUACCAAGGCUUGACAUGCAUUAGAUCGCGUCAGAGAUGGCGCUUCCCUUCGGGGCUGGUGUACAGGUGGUGCAUGGUUGUCGUCAGCUCGUGUCGUGAGAUGUUGGGUUAAGUCCCGCAACGAGCGCAACCCUCGUUCUAUGUUGCCAGCGGUUCGGCCGGGGACUCAUAGGAGACUGCCGGGGUCAACUCGGAGGAAGGUGGGGAUGACGUCAAAUCAUCAUGCCCCUUAUGUCUUGGGCUUCACGCAUGCUACAAUGGCCGGUACAGAGGGUUGCGAUACUGUGAGGUGGAGCUAAUCCCUUAAAGCCGGUCUCAGUUCGGAUUGGGGUCUACAACUCGACCCCAUGAAGUCGGAGUCGCUAGUAAUCGCAGAUCAGCA
Molecule: ribosomal RNA, 395 nt
Filed under: uncultured Rothia sp.
Lineage: Bacteria; Bacillati; Actinomycetota; Actinomycetes; Micrococcales; Micrococcaceae
Description: bacterial SSU rRNA
Rfam family: Bacterial small subunit ribosomal RNA
Source: RNAcentral